Molecule: long non-coding RNA, 1088 nt
Filed under: Macaca fascicularis (crab-eating macaque)
Lineage: Eukaryota; Metazoa; Chordata; Mammalia; Primates; Cercopithecidae
Description: lncRNA (ENSMFAG00000048361.1)
Source: RNAcentral
UUUUUUUUUUUUUUUUAGAUAGCGUUUCACUCUUUUUGCCCAGGCAGGUGUGCAAUGGCCUGAUCUUGGCUCAUUGUAACCUCUGCCUCCUGGGUUCAAGUGAUUCUCCUGUCUCCGUCUCCUGAGUAGCUGGGAUUACAGGCAUCCACCCCACGCCAGGCUAAUUUUGCUGUUUUAGUAGAGACAGGGUUUUGUCAGGUUGUACAGGCUGGUCUUGAACUCCUGACCUCAGGUGACCCACCUGCCUCAGCCUCUCAAAGUGCUGGGAUUAUAUGUGUAGGCCACCACGCCCAGCCGAGUUCCCAUCUUUGAAAUUGCUCUUCUACCUCCCUCACUGGGGUAUCAUUUCAUCACACACCCCUUAAAGGCUGGGGUUCUCCAUGGCAUUGUUCUCAUCUCUAAUUUCUUCUCACCCACACAGUUGUCCCCGGUUGUUCCAGAAUUCAUGAUUCCUUAAUCACUUCUAAUGAUCUGAAAUCUACAUCUCUAGCUCGAAACUCUUUCCGAGUGUCACACCGUAGGGCUACUUACAUAUUCCGCAGACACUUAGAUCUGGGAAGAGCAUUGGACAAUAAGUAAGUAAGUAAGUAUUGAACAGUAAGUAAGAUCUGUUCCUGUGCUGAAAACCAAAUGUGCCAGAUUAAUUAAGAAGUUGAAUAUCUGCACACUGUCCUAUAUAGGCAUUUUAAGGAAUUUUCAGGGGGCUAAUUUUAACUUUUUAUGAUUUAUACCAUAUGGGAUGACUUCACUAAAUUAGAAGCUCAAAUGACCAAAAUUAAACUCAUUUCCUCCAUCUUUUCCUUCUCUUGUCCUGCCCAAACCUUCCUUUUUUCCAAUCUUUCGUCUCCUAAAUAACAGUACCAUCAUCCACCCAGACAAUAUAUGGAGUCAUCCAAAUUCUUCCCCCCGGCUUUCCCUGACCUCCUCCAAUCUCAUUAAGUCCUGUAGAAUUUACCUCCUAAAUACUCAUUUCCUUUUCUCCAUUCUCGCUGUCCUGGGCUCAUUUUAAGCUUGCAUCUUCUCUUGCCAGGUCUAAUGUAAUAACCUUCAAACUGAUCUUCCUGUCUCUAGGCUCACUCCCUGUGCUU